CCCAUUUCUUGAGCAAAGACAAGCAGAAUUUAUUAUCUAAUAUCAGAUUGUAUGAGGAGCUUUCAGCCCAACUCGUGAUCCGAAAGCUCUUAAAGUGCUGGGACAUCUGCUCCAAGUCCCUGCUUGCAAGAUUCAACAUUGGUGGUUGCCAUGGCCCAUGACAGAGGGAAAGAGUUCUGGAGCAUCUUGCAUCAGCAAUGCAACGUUCCAGCCCGGAGGUGACAUCUAUUAUUUCCACUCGCAACUCACUGGAUAGGACUAGUCACAUGACCCUGCCCUAUAAUAAGAAGGCAAGUUCUAAGGAAGCAGCAUCCCCAGGAGCAGCCUUCAAUCAAUAACUCAGAGGACAGUACAUGGUAUAUGAAUACUCCACUCCCCAUCUCAAAUGGGAGAACCCUGAGGGGCAUAUUCUACACUGUCACCCUGAGCUCCUCAGUGGGAUUAAAUUACACUUGCCCACAGUGGAAAUGGGCUUGAUGAUGCACCUUUUAUCAGCUUCCUGCCCUUCCCUGUGUCACUUCUCUCCCCAACCCUGGUAUCUG
Molecule: long non-coding RNA, 542 nt
Filed under: Homo sapiens (human)
Lineage: Eukaryota; Metazoa; Chordata; Mammalia; Primates; Hominidae
Description: HSALNT0370380
Source: RNAcentral